GAGUUUGAUCGUGGCUCAGGACGAACGCUGGCGGCGUGCCUAACACAUGCAAGUCGAACGGGACCAGGGGCAACUCUGGUUCAGUGGCGGACGGGUGCGUAACACGUGAGGAACAUGACUUUCGGUGGGGGAGUAGCCGGCCCAACGGCCGGGUAAUACCGCGUACGACCUUUGGGGUACGAUCUCCGAUUGGUGAAAGCAGCAAUGCGCCGAAAGAGUGCCUCGCGGCCUAUCAGCUAGUUGGUGGGGUAACGGCUCACCAAGGCGACGACGGGUAGCUGGUCUGAGAGGAUGGCCAGCCACAUUGGGACUGAGACACGGCCCAGACUCCUACGGGAGGCAGCAGUGGGGAAUAUUGCGCAAUGGGCGAAAGCCUGACGCAGCGACGCCGCGUGUGGGAUGACGGCCUUCGGGUUGU
This 418-nucleotide ribosomal RNA is filed under the name uncultured Gemmatimonadota bacterium. RNAcentral's name for it is "bacterial SSU rRNA". It matches the Rfam family "Bacterial small subunit ribosomal RNA", at positions 9 to 426 of the family's 1533-position model. The record is from RNAcentral. Lineage: Bacteria; Pseudomonadati; Gemmatimonadota.